CCUACGGGAGGCAGCAGUGAGGAAUAUUGGACAAUGGGCGCAAGCCUGAUCCAGCCAUGCCGCGUGCAGGAUGACGGUCCUAUGGAUUGUAAACUGCUUUUGUACAGGAAGAAACCCUUUCACGUGUGGAAGAUUGACGGUACUGUAAGAAUAAGGAUCGGCUAACUCCGUGCCAGCAGCCGCGGUAAUACGGAGGAUCCAAGCGUUAUCCGGAAUCAUUGGGUUUAAAGGGUCCGUAGGCGGUUUAGUAAGUCAGUGGUGAAAGCCCAUCGCUCAACGGUGGAACGGCCAUUGAUACUGCUAGACUUGAAUUAUUAGGAAGUAACUAGAAUAUGUAGUGUAGCGGUGGAAUGCUUAGAGAUUACAUGGAAUACCAAUUGCGAAGGCAGGUUACUACUAAUGGAUUGACGCUGAUGGACGAAAGCGUGGGUAGCGAACAGGAUUAGAUACCCUGGUAGUCCACGCCGUAAACGAUGGAUACUAGCUGUUGGGCGCAAGUUCAGUGGNGUAGACGAAGUAGAUAAGUAAUACCACCGUACGGGAGGUACGGUUCGUCGAAGAAGUAGUAAACGUUAAAGUUAAGUAAGUUAGUACGGACGUGAGACGUAGACCGACGGACGACGACGAGGGAGGAGGGAG
RNAcentral lists this ribosomal RNA (639 nucleotides) under uncultured bacterium. RNAcentral's name for it is "partial 16S ribosomal RNA". The stretch from base 1 to 535 matches the Rfam family "Bacterial small subunit ribosomal RNA", at positions 338 to 873 of the family's 1533-position model. The record is from RNAcentral.